RNAcentral lists this ribosomal RNA (797 nucleotides) under uncultured archaeon. Its description in RNAcentral is "bacterial SSU rRNA". It matches the Rfam family "Archaeal small subunit ribosomal RNA", at positions 20 to 802 of the family's 1478-position model. The record is from RNAcentral.
GACCCGACUGCUAUUUGGGUGAGAAUAAGCCAUGCGAGUCGAAUGGGAUACCUAAAUUUCCCAUGGCAAACUGCUCAUUAACACAUGAUCAACUUACCCUAUAGAGAAAAAUAACCUCGGGAAACUGAGGAUAAUAUUUCGUAGUUGAAUAGGCUUGGAAAAGUUUUUCAAUAAAAGGGAUAAAAAAAAUGGUUUUUAUCUGCUAUAGGAUAGGAUCGUGGACGAUUAUGGUUGUUGGUGAGGUAACGGCUCACCAAGCCGAUAAUCGAUAGGGGCCGUGAGAGCGGGAGCCCCGAGAUGGGUACUGAGACAACGACCCAGGCCUUACGAGGCGCAGCAGGCGCGGAACCUCCGCAAUACACGAAAGUGUGACGGGGUUACCCAAAGUGUUCAAUUCUGAACUGUGGUAGGUGAGUAAUGUUCCCUACUAGAAAGGAGAGGGCAAGGCUGGUGCCAGCCGCCGCGGUAAAACCAGCUCUUCAAGUGGUCGGGAUAAUUAUUGGGCUUAAAGUGUCCGUAGCCGGUUUGGUAAGUUCCUGGUAAAAUCGGGUAGCUUAACUAUCCGUAUGCUAGGAAUACUGCUAUACUAGAGGGCGGGAGAGGUCUGAGGUACUACAGGGGUAGGGGUGAAAUCUUAUAAUCCUUGUAGGACCACCAGUGGCGAANGCGACAGACUGGAACGCGCCUGACGGUGAGGGACGAAAGCCAGGGGAGCGAACCGGAUUAGAUACCCGGGUAGUCCUGGCCGUAAACGAUGCAUACUNNGUGAUGGUACGGCCAUGAGCCGUAUCAGUGCC